RNAcentral lists this ribosomal RNA (768 nucleotides) under uncultured bacterium. Its description in RNAcentral is "bacterial SSU rRNA". It matches the Rfam family "Bacterial small subunit ribosomal RNA", at positions 730 to 1509 of the family's 1533-position model. The record is from RNAcentral.
UGGGAGGAAACUGACGCUGAGACACGAAAGCUAGGGGAGCGAAGCAGAUNAGAGACCUGCGUAGUCCUAGCCCUAAACAAAUGCUUGCUAGCUGCAUUGUCGGGCUUUUAGCCUUACGGUGUGGCGAAGGUAACCCGUUAAGCAAGCCGCCUGGGGAGUACGACCGCAAGGUUAAAACUCAAAGGAAUUGGCGGGGAGGCACACAACCAGUGGAACAUGUGGUUUAAUUCGAAACGAACCGAAGAACCUUACCAGGGUUUGACAUCUCAGCGUUCUAGUUCCGAGAAAUCGGGAUAAUCCGCAAGGAGGCUGGGACAGGUACUGCAUGGCUGUCGUAAGCUCGUUCCGUGAGGAGUACCCUUAAGUGGGACAACGAGCGCAACCCUUGUCCUGUGUUAAAUAUGUCACAGGAGACUGCUUCGAUGUUUCAUCGGAGAGGAAGGAGAGGCAGACGUCAAGUCAGCAUGGUUCUUAUACCCUGGGCCACACACAUGUUACAAUGAAAAGAAACAACGGGUAUUGCUACUCUGCAAAGAGCGGCUAAUCCCUCAAAUCUUUUCUCAGUGGGGAUUGAGGUCUGCAACUCGACCUCAUGAACUCGGAAUUGGUAGUAAUCGCGGAUCAGUCAUGCCGCGGUGAAUGCGUUCUUGCCUCUUGCACACACCGCCCGUCAAGCCAACAAAGUCGGAUUUAUCUGAACCUCGAUUUAUUCGAGGGAGGAUAGUUUCGGCGAUGGGGGUUAAGUCGUAACAAGGUAACCGUAAAGGG